CGAGCGGGAGAGGAGAAAGAUGCAACGUACGGCAUUGUUGUUGCUAUGGAGGAGGAGGAGGAGGAGGAGAGAGAAAACGAAGGACGAGGUGAAGACAAGCGCGGUCGCAGAGGGAGGUCCGGAUGAAUGAGACAAUAGCGCCGGGCGAGGAAGCCGCGACGCUUGAUUAUCAUCGGAGAAGUCAUCAGGGCGUCCCGCCGCCUCGCGCCCCCCCCCCACCCCCCUUCCACAGCCCGUCCUGCCCACCGCGCCUUCCCCUGUGUCACCCCUCGUCAAGAUAGGGGCGCCUCCUCUUGACAGCACCCUGACGAAGCCUGGCUGUCACAUCCUUGCUGUUGCUCGACCGCUAGCUUCUCCGAGGAUGAUUGCGGCUGGCGGAAACAAAAGGCCGAGGAAAAGUGCGGCGAAGAGGGAGAGGGAGGAUAAAUGAGC
Molecule: long non-coding RNA, 432 nt
Organism: Hippocampus zosterae (dwarf seahorse)
Lineage: Eukaryota; Metazoa; Chordata; Actinopteri; Syngnathiformes; Syngnathidae
Exons: 3
Source: RefSeq, a predicted model, not a curated record